GAUGAACGCUGGCGGCGUGCCUAAUACACGCAAGUCGAGCGAACGGACGAGAAGCUUGCUUCUCUGAUGUUAGCGGCGGACGGGUGAGUAACACGUGGAUAACCUACCUAUAAGACUGGGAUAACUUCGGGAAACCGUAGCUAAUACCGGAUAAUAUUUUGAACCGCAUGGUUCAAAAGUGAAAGACGGUCUUGCUGUCACUUAUAGAUGGAUCCGCGCUGCAUUAGCUAGUUGGUAAGGUAACGGCUUACCAAGGCAACGAUGCAUAGCCGACCUGAGAGGGUGAUCGGCCACACUGGAACUGAGACACGGUCCAGACUCCUACGGGAGGCAGCAGUAGGGAAUCUUCCGCAAUGGGCGAAAGCCUGACGGAGCAACGCCGCGUGAGUGAUGAAGGUCUUCGGAUCGUAAAACUCUGUUAUUAGGGAAGAACAUAUGUGUAAGUAACUGUGCACAUCUUGACGGUACCUAAUCAGAAAGCCGCGGCUAACUACGUG
Molecule: ribosomal RNA, 497 nt
Filed under: uncultured bacterium
Lineage: Bacteria
Description: partial 16S ribosomal RNA
Rfam family: Bacterial small subunit ribosomal RNA
Source: RNAcentral